ACAAAUGACUCAUAUAAAUUAUUUAAAAAUGAAAUAAAUAAACAAUAGCAUUGUCACUUUGAAUAUAUGUACGCAGAGACGAUGUCGAAAUUGGCUGGAUUAUUACUGUGCAGAUUUUGUGUUGUAUUUUUCUUAUCUUCUGCUGUCAGUGGUGCAAUACCAAAGUGCAGAUUGGUGUGUCCAACCCUACCACCAGGUACAGUCGGUAUUUGUUUAAAUCGAUGUCCUCCAGCUGGCUGUGGUUAUGGAAAUCUAUGUUGUUCUAACGGUUGUGGAAACAUUUGUGCAAAAGGCAUUCGGAAAUGCCAUUAAACAUCACGCAAAGCUAUAUAAUCAUGAAUGAAAACAAAGGAAAGACAAAACUUUACAUGUUCUCGAUUAAAAAUAUUUGCUAAA
Long non-coding RNA from Mytilus californianus (California mussel), 396 nucleotides. RefSeq lists it as uncharacterized. The transcript is spliced from 3 exons. Lineage: Eukaryota; Metazoa; Mollusca; Bivalvia; Mytilida; Mytilidae. The record is from RefSeq and is a predicted model, not a curated record.